AUGCAACGACGCACAUUUGCCUUUAUAGUAGCUAUGGCUGGUGAUAUGGUUCCCUGUCAGCUAUUUAUGUCCAAAACUUUCUGUAACUGUAUGCUGUCUUAUUCACUCUUAUUCUCCAUGUCAACCCCCAAAAAGGAUGAGCUAUGUAAUAAAGCCAUAAAGAUUUGGAGACCCUGUAUUCCAAUAGCUAUAUUAGAAGCCUUAGUUUAUGUAAGGGAAAAGCCUCUUUGUUUGCUGACACGAAUUGUGUUCCCCCUCCAGGUCCCAAAAGCACAGAGAAUUACAUUUGCAAAUUUUUGGAAAAAGAAACAGUUUUGUAGAUGUACCUGUAGUCCUGUACAAAAGUAUGUGUACAAAAAUGCAUGCCUAUGCACUAGUUUUUGUUAG
RNAcentral lists this ribosomal RNA (387 nucleotides) under Triticum aestivum (bread wheat). RNAcentral describes it as "partial small subunit ribosomal RNA". The record is from RNAcentral. Lineage: Eukaryota; Viridiplantae; Streptophyta; Magnoliopsida; Poales; Poaceae.